This 214-nucleotide ribosomal RNA is filed under the name Nocardia asteroides. RNAcentral describes it as "partial 16S ribosomal RNA". It matches the Rfam family "Bacterial small subunit ribosomal RNA", at positions 1322 to 1533 of the family's 1533-position model. The record is from RNAcentral. Lineage: Bacteria; Bacillati; Actinomycetota; Actinomycetes; Mycobacteriales; Nocardiaceae.
GAAGUUGGAGUCGCUAGUAAUCGCAGAUCAGCAACGCUGCGGUGAAUACGUUCCCGGGCCUUGUACACACCGCCCGUCACGUCAUGAAAGUUGGUAACACCCGAAGCCGGUGGCCUAACCCUUGUGGAGGGAGCCGUCGAAGGUGGGAUCGGCGAUUGGGACGAAGUCGUAACAAGGUAGCCGUACCGGAAGGUGCGGCUGGAUCACCUCCUUU